CCUAAAAUACCAAAUUGGUAUUCAAAACCCCAAUCAAGUCUUUUGCUAACAUCCAACAAAAAUCUAGCAUGUCCUAUUCUCUUUUGUCUUUCCUUUCUUUUUUUUUUCUCGAGCUCUUAAUCAUUUUGGUGUCCAUGGAUUAUUCAGGCCAAUAUUUUAUCAUCUCUCAACCACUCAUAUAAAUGAAUCUUAAAUUUACUCUCCCUUUCAUGUGAAAACAGUAUCCCCUCUCCUUGUGUUGCAGCCCCUACCUUUUUCUGUUCAAGCAAAAAAAAAUAUAACAGUCACACAUAAUUCUUAUUCUCAUAUUUCCUUGACUUAUUUUUCUCUUAAUCACCUCCCAUUAAUCUUUCUAUUUUAUUUUUGAGCAGCAAGUAAAUUGCAGAGCAUGACUGGACUCCACAUUCUUUUACUGGUCUCAUGCAAAAACAGAUAAAUCAUUUCUUUUCUUUCUCUUAAAUUUCCUAGACCCACUUUACUUUUCCAUUUAUUUUUCCUCAUGCAGCCAUUCAUUCUCAGGCUGCACCCCCACGGCUUGCUCCUUCUCCUCUCAUGCAAAAUAAAAACUACAACAAAUACUUUGUCCUUUAGUUUAAAAGGCAAUACCUCUCUUCAAUCAUCUCUUUUGCCAACCCUUACUCCAUUGCAUGCACAUAAAAACAGCCAUGCUUCCUCCUCCUCUUUCUCUCACGCAGCAGUCAUUAUUCCUCCUUAAUCUCCUCACUAAGGAUAGAGAUAGACAUACCUCUCCUCCUGUAGCUGCCCACGCCACUCUCUUCUCCAAUGCAGCAUCCUUCCCUCACUCUCAUGCAAAAACAACAAUAUAAUGCUCCCUCUUUAAUCCCUUGAAGAUAUCUAAAUAAUCACCAUAAUUCCUCCCACUAAAUUACCUUCUCUUGUUCACUAUGGAUAUACAGGUUAAAGAAUGGAGCAUUCUGAUGCUCGGCCACUACUGCAUGCUCUCAUGCUCCUCCUAUUUACCCUCAUGCAAAUAUAUAACAAUGACACUUAAUUUCUU
Molecule: long non-coding RNA, 1018 nt
Filed under: Sorghum bicolor (sorghum)
Lineage: Eukaryota; Viridiplantae; Streptophyta; Magnoliopsida; Poales; Poaceae
Description: long non-coding RNA (SBIC_LNC005189)
Source: RNAcentral